AUCCUGCUGACGAGUCCCAAAUAGGACGAAACGCGCGUCAAACUAGAU
This 48-nucleotide non-coding RNA is filed under the name Schistosoma mansoni. The record is from RNAcentral. Lineage: Eukaryota; Metazoa; Platyhelminthes; Trematoda; Strigeidida; Schistosomatidae.